Molecule: ribosomal RNA, 403 nt
Filed under: uncultured bacterium
Lineage: Bacteria
Description: partial 16S ribosomal RNA
Rfam family: Bacterial small subunit ribosomal RNA
Source: RNAcentral
AUUGAACGCUGGCGGCAGGCUUAACACAUGCAAGUCGAGCGAGCGGCGGACGGGUGAGUAAUGUAUGGGGACUGCCCGAUAGAGGGGGAUAACUACUGGAAACGGUGGCUAAUACCGCAUACUAUCGGAUAACCCAUAUGGGAUUAGCUAGUAGGUGGGGUAAAGGCUCACCUAGGCGACGAUCUCUAGCUGGUCUGAGAGGAUGAUCAGCCAGACUGGGACUGAGACAAGGCCCAGACGCCUACGGAGGCAGCAGUGGGGAAUUUUGGACAAUGGGGGCAAGCCUGAUGCAGCCAUGCCGCGUGUAUGACGAAGGCCUUGGGGUUGUAAAGUACUUUCAGCGGGGAGGCGUUAGCUGCAGAAGAAGCACCGGCUAACUCCGUGCCAGCCGCCGCGGUAAUAC